CGAAUCGGAUAAGUGUCUUCGGACACGAAACUCGCCUGCAAUUCCCGGCAUCACCGCGCAAGCGGUGUGGCGACUUCACUUCUGCCUUCGGGCAGUAUCAAC
This 102-nucleotide non-coding RNA is filed under the name unclassified sequences. The record is from Rfam.